CGAGGGGAUAGGUUUUCGGACCUAGAGACCGGCGCACGGGUGCGUAACGCGUAUGCAAUCUACCUUUUACAGAGGGAUAGCCCAGAGAAAUUUGGAUUAAUACCUCAUAGCAUUAUGACUCGGCAUCGAGAUGUAAUUAAAGUCACAACGGUAAAAGAUGAGCAUGCGUCCCAUUAGCUUGUUGGUAAGGUAACGGCUUACCAAGGCAACGAUGGGUAGGGGUCCUGAGAGGGAGAUCCCCCACACUGGUACUGAGACACGGACCAGACUCCUACGGGAGGCAGCAGUGAGGAAUAUUGGUCAAUGGGCGCAAGCCUGAACCAGCCAUGCCGCGUGCAGGAUGACGGUCCUAUGGAUUGUAAACUGCUUUUGUACAGGAAGAAACAGUUCUACGUGUAGAACCUUGACGGUACUGUAAGAAUAAGGAUCGGCUAACUCCGUGCCAGCAGCCGCGGUAAUACGGAGGAUCCAAGCGUUAUCCGGAAUCAUUGGGUUUAAAGGGUCCGUAGGCGGUUUUGUAAGUCAGUGGUGAAAGCCCAUCGCUCAACGGUGGAACGGCCAUUGAUACUGCAAGACUUGAAUUAUUGGGAAGUAACUAGAAUAUGUAGUGUAGCGGUGAAAUGCUUAGAGAUUACAUGGAAUACCAAUUGCGAAGGCAGGUUACUACCAAUAUAUUGACGCUGAUGGACGAAAGCGUGGGGAGCGAACAGGAUUAGAUACCCUGGUAGUCCACGCCGUAAACGAUGGAUACUAGCUGUUCGGAGCAAUCUGAGUGGCUAAGCGAAAGU
RNAcentral lists this ribosomal RNA (788 nucleotides) under uncultured bacterium. RNAcentral describes it as "bacterial SSU rRNA". It matches the Rfam family "Bacterial small subunit ribosomal RNA", at positions 63 to 858 of the family's 1533-position model. The record is from RNAcentral.